UUCGAUUGCGUCGGAAUCGGGAACAUCUUAUUCGGAGCAGCGGUACAAUUAAUGCGCUCACAAGAUGAUCGAGUCUCUCUCGAAAACUCUAUUUAUAUAUCGUGUAAUAUUUCUUUACCUAGCGCUAUUUCUGUGUACUUUAAAUCAGAUUAUGUGAUAGUACUCAAUGUUACUCAUCGACGUGAUUGCAGAUUCGGGAAGGUAAAAAUAAUCAGUAUUAAAUAUUAGAGUAAUAAUUAACAAAAUUAAGGAAAGACGAAAACAACUUAGUGCGAUACAGUUUCAAAAUAUAUUUACACUUUAUAUUGCCUUAUAUAUGCAUUUAUAUGCAUUUUCUCAUUGAAUGACGUAUAACGAUCGAAGGUGCAACAGAUAUCGAGCACUUUUUAUCUGCUGUUCGUAUCGCCUCGUGGUGGUAACAAAAUGACAAUAAUAAGUUCGAGGUUCAUGGAUCGAUCUAGACUUUUUCUUAAAUAUGAUUCCACUCAACAUUCAGAUAAGAUCAGAUAACGCACAUCAUAUUUUGGGUACAAUCAUACAAUCAAGGUAAUCAUUAAAUUAGUUGUCACUUCAAAAAGCAUUUCUCGUAUAAGAUUAAUCGAGUCAAUAUAAUACUUAAGUUUAAAAAGGGUCUGUAACUAUAAUACAACUCGAGGAGAUGAUCUUCUGCCGGAGAUCCGCCAACGACACUCAAACGAAGUCAAUUGUGUUUUCCUGACGAAAACCAACCCCAGGUCGUUCAAGACCUGUUUUCCUCCAGAAACGAAGCAGGGAGAAGGGUCGGUCAUAGUUCUGGAAGACAUAAAUUUUCAAAAGACUAUAUAGUA
This is a long non-coding RNA of Wasmannia auropunctata (little fire ant), 827 nucleotides long. RefSeq lists it as uncharacterized. The record is from RefSeq and is a predicted model, not a curated record. NCBI's taxonomy places the organism in Eukaryota, Metazoa, Arthropoda, Insecta, Hymenoptera, Formicidae. The transcript is spliced from 3 exons.